GAUGAACGCUGGCGGCGUGCCUAAUACAUGCCAGUCGAGCGAGCAGACGAGGAGCUUGCUCCUCUGACGUUAGCGGCGGACGGGUGAGUAACACGUGGAUAACCUACCUAUAAGACUGGGAUAACUUCGGGAAACCGGAGCUAAUACCGGAUAAUAUAUUGAACCGCAUGGUUCAGUAGUGAAAGACGGUUUUGCUGUCACUUAUAGAUGGAUCCGCGCCGCAUUAGCUAGUUGGUAAGGUAACGGCUUACCAAGGCAACGAUGCGUAGCCGACCUGAGAGGGUGAUCGGCCACACUGGAACUGAGACACGGUCCAGACUCCUACGGGAGGCAGCAGUAGGGAAUCUUCCGCAAUGGGCGAAAGCCUGACGGAGCAACGCCGCGUGAGUGAUGAAGGUCUUCGGAUCGUAAAACUCUGUUAUUAGGGAAGAACAAAUGUGUAAGUAACUAUGCACGUCUUGACGGUACCUAAUCAGAAAGCCACGGCUAACUACGUG
RNAcentral lists this ribosomal RNA (497 nucleotides) under uncultured bacterium. Its description in RNAcentral is "partial 16S ribosomal RNA". It matches the Rfam family "Bacterial small subunit ribosomal RNA", at positions 28 to 507 of the family's 1533-position model. The record is from RNAcentral.